UACAUGGGGUGCAAACGUUGCUCGGAAUUAUUGGGCGUAAAGCGCACGUAGGCAGUUUGUUAAGUCGGAUGUGAAAUCCCUCGGCUCAACUGAGGAAGUGCAUCCGAAACUGGCAGGCUUGAGUACUAAAGAGGGUCGCGGAAUUCCCGGUGUAGAGGUGAAAUUCGUAGAUAUCGGGAGGAACACCGGUGGCGAAGGCGGCGACCUGGGUAGAUACUGACGCUGAGGUGCGAAAGCGUGGGGAGCAAACAGG
Molecule: ribosomal RNA, 253 nt
Filed under: uncultured bacterium
Lineage: Bacteria
Description: partial 16S ribosomal RNA
Rfam family: Bacterial small subunit ribosomal RNA
Source: RNAcentral